AAGUCGUAACAAGGUUUCCGUAGGUGAACCUGCGGAAGGAUCAUUAACAAUUGUCCAUUUUCCUUUGCAUAUGGAUGGUUCAAAUCCAUAUCCACCUUCGUGUGCACAUCAUCGACAUGUUUGCUUUGGCAGUUUGUGCAGGGAGAUCCUUUACCGUUUCUCUGUGGAGGAGGGAAAGGAGGGUGCGAGAGAGAGACAGAGGAGAGAGAAGAAGCACUUUUUCUCUCUCGGCUUCUUCCUUCUUGCCUUUCCCCACCUUCCUCCGGCACUGCCAGAGUUUUUUUCUUUCAUCUUGACAAA
RNAcentral lists this unclassified non-coding RNA (300 nucleotides) under Endogonales sp. RNAcentral describes it as "partial contains small subunit ribosomal RNA and internal transcribed spacer 1". The stretch from base 1 to 46 matches the Rfam family "Eukaryotic small subunit ribosomal RNA", at positions 1786 to 1831 of the family's 1831-position model. Lineage: Eukaryota; Fungi; Mucoromycota; Endogonomycetes; Endogonales. The record is from RNAcentral.